GACGUAGGGGGCCAGCGUUGUUCGGAAUUACUGGGUGUAAAGGGUUCGUAGGCGGUGCGGCAAGUUGGGAGUGAAAUCUCUGGGCUUAACCCAGAGGCUGCUUCCAAACUGCUGUGCUUGAGUGUGGGAGAGGCGCGUGGAAUUGCAGGUGUAGCGGUGAAAUGCGUAGAUAUCUGCAGGAACACCCGUGGCGAAAGCGGCGCGCUGGACCACUACUGACGCUGAGGAGCGAAAGCCAGGGAGCAAACGGG
Molecule: ribosomal RNA, 251 nt
Filed under: uncultured bacterium
Lineage: Bacteria
Description: partial 16S ribosomal RNA
Rfam family: Bacterial small subunit ribosomal RNA
Source: RNAcentral